CCCUGGAAGAACUUCUUCUGGAAAGAAUCCUACUGAUACCUGGAUAAUGAUGACAUUUAUAAAAGAGUUGCAGGUUUAAGAAGCUCUUACUGGGAGAAUAAAGUGGGUAAACAACCAUAUCAGCAUCACCAGAGUUCCAUAGGAAAACACCAGAUUUCCAGUAUUGUUUAUAUAACAUCAGAUUUUAUAGACUCCAUCAAUGACUGGCAAUUUUUCUUUAAAAUAAAAUGAAUUUGAAUGGUGA
Molecule: long non-coding RNA, 244 nt
Organism: Hyla sarda
Lineage: Eukaryota; Metazoa; Chordata; Amphibia; Anura; Hylidae
Exons: 3
Source: RefSeq, a predicted model, not a curated record